UACGAAGGGGGCCAGCGUUGCUCGGAAUCACUGGGCGUAAAGCGCACGUAGGCGGAUUGCUAAGUCAGGGGUGAAAUCCUGGAGCUCAACUCCAGAACUGCCCUUGAUACUGGCGGUCUCGAGUCCGGGAGAGGUGAGUGGAACUGCGAGUGUAGAGGUGAAAUUCGUAGAUAUUCGCAAGAACACCAGUGGCGAAGGCGGCUCACUGGCCCGAUACUGACGCUGAGGCACGAAAGCGUGGGGAGCAAACAGG
Molecule: ribosomal RNA, 253 nt
Filed under: uncultured bacterium
Lineage: Bacteria
Description: partial 16S ribosomal RNA
Rfam family: Bacterial small subunit ribosomal RNA
Source: RNAcentral